This 2825-nucleotide long non-coding RNA is filed under the name Homo sapiens (human). RNAcentral describes it as "HSALNT0277182". The record is from RNAcentral. Lineage: Eukaryota; Metazoa; Chordata; Mammalia; Primates; Hominidae.
AAACAUGGCUGACGUUCUCAAGGAGUCCAUGGUCUAGUGGAUAUUCAGUAUCCAUGACUGCACAAGUUACCUCAAAAUGCAGCAGCUUAAAACAGCACCAGUUAUUUAUUAACUCAAAUGGUUUCUGUGUGUCAGGAAUCUCAGAGUAUAUUCGCUGGGUGGUUCUUAGGAUUCCUCAUGAGGUUGCAGUCAUCUGAAUACUUGCUCUGGGAUGUAAGAUCUAAUUCUAUGCUGGCUCCCACAUACAUGCCCGGCAGUUGAUGCCAGCUAUCAAUAAGAAGGCUCACGUUUUUGCCACUCCAGAAGUCUGCUUGAGAGUCUUUACAACAUGCUGGCUUCCCCCAAAGUGAGUGGUCCCAAAGACAGCAAGGUGGAGGCAAGGUUAUCUUGAAAACUUGGCCUCAGAAGUAACAUGGCAUCAUUCCUGCAACAUCUUAUUGGUUAUAUAGUCGAGAGAAAAAUAUAGUUUUAAAAAUUGUGCUACUACAGAAAGUCUGCAAAAUGCAAUGAAAACGAGAAAACUAGAAUACAUGUACCCAGAGAUAAAAUAACGUUACUGGGAAUCCUCCGUGCUGAAUGAAACAGCCUCAAAAUUCUUACCAAGACUUCUUCAUUCAAACACCUGGUUAGAGCCAACUAUGAGCAAGCACAUGCUAAGAAUUGGGAAGCAGAAAGAAGAGCCGAGGGGUCCAUCCACGUAGGCUCCACACUGCAGUGGCAAGUGAGACAUACAUCCACCAAUACCCAUGCAUCAAAGGUAUUUAACAAAUAAGUACACAAGGAUCAAUGUCAUAAAAAAUGAAGUAACAGGUGGAAAGAUAACCUAUAGAAGGGGAACCCAAAUUUGAACAGAAUGCCAGGCCCAGAACACUUUCCUUGAGAUGCUAACUGAGCUCUAGAAGAAAGAUGAGGAAGGGAGAUUCCUAUUUCAGGUAACAUAGUGAACUAGACAACCUCAAAACCCUCACAGUGAAAACAUUUUGAAAAGUUAACAAGGAACAUAUAUGUGUGCGUGUGUGUGUGUGUGUGUGUGUGUGCGCACGCACGCAUAUAAAACUUAAGUUGGCAUCACAGCAAAAAUACAAAAAUGAAAAGCAAGUCCAAGUUGGAAAAUUAGAAUAUAAGUAAUCCCUGAAACUCAGUAUUGCUUUGAGGGGAAUGGCUCUUGACCUUCUGCUUUCACUGCUGUGAGGGUGCAGGAGGGAGAAGAUGAGGCCCAUGGCCUGGCUUAAGAGGGAGUCAGAGAGAGAACCUUUGCAUGAAGUUAGGACCCGAAUCCUACACUCUUAGUAUAAAGGUGAUUUAGAAACAAACCCCCACACACAGAAGGGAGGAACAGAAAACACACUGAUUUUUAUCUGGAUGACUACUAAAGUGGGGGUGGGAGGCCUUCCCUGAGAAUUAGCACCCUCAAGAUGGAUCACACAGUGGUGUGUUGUCUGGACUCAAGCUAUCUGGUGUCUGACAGACCUCAAAUGCAGAAUUUAAUUCAAAGUGAUUAGGACUGACAGGGCCUCAGGCAACUAGCCGCAAUAAAUGCAAAUCUGCUUCCAGGCAAACACAACAUUACACCUCCAGGCUUUCAUAAAUCUGCAUGGAAUUUCCCAUAGAGUUCAACUGUAGUAAGUGAGGAGGAAAGGCUAGGGCCCACGGCUAGGCUGCAGGGCUCAAUUCUUGUUUCCACCACUCCACAGCUAAGAAGUCUUGGUCUAGCUGCCUCUACUCUCAGGUUCCUCCUCUGUAAAAGAUUAUCACAGCACUAAUUUCAAGGAUCUGUCAUGAGAUUUCAAUGAGAUAACACUAAAUGUUUAGUACUAUGUCUGAUACAUGAUAAGUGACAAGUAAAUGUUGGCUAUUGAUUUUGAUUACCAUUUUGCAAAUUUAUAUUGUUGUAUACCUUUACUCAUUGUUCUGUUUAUUAAUAUUUCCUCCAUUGUUUUAUUAAAUUUACCAGAGGUUUGCCAUCUUCUUAUAUAUGGAAAUUAAUUAAUUAAAAAUUAAUAUUUUCAUUAAUUUAAAUUAAUGAAAAUUAAUAUUUGUUUACUUUUCUGUUUAUUAUUUUUCUUACUUCACAGAAUUCUGCUGUGAACUCCACUUCCCUUCUGCUUUCCUUAGGGACACACCAUUGUUCAUAUUUCAAUUACUGCAUGAAAUGCAAGAUUCAUUUAUCAUUACCUUUGUUUUUGAAUAAUGAAAGAAGUGGAGGCUAUUAAAAUAUCUCCAGUGACAGCUUUGGCCACAUUCCAUAAACUUUACUAUGAAAUGUUCCUCUUCUGUUGAUACCAAAACAGACUAUAAUUUUAGUUUUUAUAUCCUUUUGGAUUAAAUAGCAUUUAGGAAGAAUCUUUACCCUCCUCUAGUUUCCAAGAAGUUUGAAUUUCCCAUUUAAUAGUUUGUUUCUGAUAUGUAGUUCCGCUGCACUGUGGUCAAGAGUAGGGCCUGUGUAAUUUUUAUGGUAUCUAUCAUUUGUGUAAUUUUUUUGAUGAACACUUCACUCAUUUUUAUUCCAUAUGAUAGGCAGUUCAAUAACUACUGAUAUUAUGUUUUAAAAAUCAUUUCUGUCAUUAACAAGAUGAUUCAUCUUUCUUUUCUGUGGCCAAAGCUCUCCCAACAUAUAUUUCUAUCAAUUUUUGUUUUGUGCUUAGUAUAUCUGGAAGUUUUCUACUUGGAAAAUAACUCGGCUAUUCUAUCCUCUUAUGGGUAUUAAACUUACCAAUUUAAAAUUAUUAGUUGUACCUAAUUAAAUAUAUUUUAUUGUAUUUGAUUUAGUCUAAAAUUAACACACUCACACCAUAUUGCUAUUUAACCAAGAAUUAAAGUUGUUA